This 523-nucleotide ribosomal RNA is filed under the name uncultured bacterium. RNAcentral describes it as "partial 16S ribosomal RNA". It matches the Rfam family "Bacterial small subunit ribosomal RNA", at positions 889 to 1409 of the family's 1533-position model. The record is from RNAcentral.
CAAGAUUAAAACUCAAAGGAAUAGACGGGGACCCGCNCAAGCGGUGGAGCANGUGGUUUAAUUNGAAGAUACGNGAAGAACCUUACCCGGACUUGAUAUCUAACAAAUCAUCCAGAGAUGGAAGAGUGUCUGNUNGCAGAAAUGUUAAGACAGGUGNNGCNCGNNNNUNGUCAGCUCGUGUCGUGAGAUGUUGGGUUAAGUCCCGCAACGAGCGCAACCCACGUCAUUAGUUGNUAACGGUUCGGCCGAGCACUNUAAUGAGACUGCCUUCGUAAGGAGGAGGAAGGUGUAGACGACGUCAAGUCAUCAUGGCCCUUAUGUCCGGGGCGACACACGUGCUACAAUGGCAUAUACAAUAAGACGCAAUAUCGUAAGGUGGAGCAAAUCUAAAAAAUAUGUCCCAGUUCGGAUUGGAGUCUGCAACUCGACUCCAUGAAGCCGGAAUCGCUAGUAAUCGUAGAUCAGCCAUGCUACGGUGAAUACGUUCCCGGGUCUUGUACUCACCGCCCGUCACACCAUGGGA